RNAcentral lists this transfer RNA (71 nucleotides) under Dipodomys ordii (Ord's kangaroo rat). It matches the Rfam family "tRNA". From Rfam's summary of the family: Transfer RNA (tRNA) molecules are approximately 80 nucleotides in length. Their secondary structure includes four short double-helical elements and three loops (D, anti-codon, and T loops). Further hydrogen bonds mediate the characteristic L-shaped molecular structure. tRNAs have two regions of fundamental functional importance: the anti-codon, which is responsible for specific mRNA codon recognition, and the 3' end, to which the tRNAs corresponding amino acid is attached (by aminoacyl-tRNA synthetases). tRNAs cope with the degeneracy of the genetic code in two manners: having more than one tRNA (with a specific anti-codon) for a particular amino acid; and 'wobble' base-pairing, i.e. permitting non-standard base-pairing at the 3rd anti-codon position. The record is from Rfam by way of RNAcentral. Lineage: Eukaryota; Metazoa; Chordata; Mammalia; Rodentia; Heteromyidae.
GGUGCUGUGGCUCAAGUGGUAGAGCGCUAGCCUUGCAUGCCCGAGGCCCUGGGUUCGAUUCCUCAGCACCA